RNAcentral lists this long non-coding RNA (697 nucleotides) under Mus musculus (house mouse). Its description in RNAcentral is "long non-coding RNA chr19:22347593-22348290". Lineage: Eukaryota; Metazoa; Chordata; Mammalia; Rodentia; Muridae. The record is from RNAcentral.
UAAGUGGAUAUUAUCCAAAAAUAAAAAGUACAGAAAGGGUUAAUAUUAACACAUCAUUCACCAAGAUUCCAUUCAUUUGGCAUUGACACUUAUUUAUGUAGCAUCCUUUUGCCUGGGAAAAUGUGCUCUUAUGAGAUGUAGCAUUCACCUUUAAAUGCACGGCUAUAUAUAUAUAUAUAUCCAGAAAACAAUGGUUUUUUCAAUUAUAAAGAUGAGCCUUCAUUAAUUAUACAAGCUUUUCUGCAAGUUCUUGUGAAUAUCUUGGUUUCGUUUAAUAAGAAAUGUUGUAUAUGUUGAAUCAAACUACUUAUAUAACCAGGAAGAAUGCUUCAUGAACUUAAUUAGGUUACUUUUAGGGUUCUUUACCUAUAAGGCAGCAGAUAGCUUUAUAUUCAGUUAAAACAUGAGUGUAUUUUCUGAAGUGUCAAUAAGACUUAAAAUUAUCAGUGAUAUUAUUACAGGCCACCACCAUUUUUUCUUUCUAUUUGGGAGAAGAUCUAAUCACUAGAAAAUGUGCCUCAAGUGUUUCACCUUAGUGGAAAAUUAGCCUGGACAUCUCAUUGCAGGGUGAAUUCUGAAAGUCUACAGAGAUACCUGCUUCUUUCACAUACAAUGAAAAGUAACUUAGAAAAAAUUUGAUACUGUCCUUUCUAUAUGUCUGUUUUGUCUACUUUGUAUAAUUAAAUGAUUAUAAAUU